UGGCGACUUGAUAGCAAUACAAUAUUGCU
RNAcentral lists this small RNA (29 nucleotides) under Bombyx mori (domestic silkworm). Its description in RNAcentral is "ovarian small RNA-34860". The record is from RNAcentral. Lineage: Eukaryota; Metazoa; Arthropoda; Insecta; Lepidoptera; Bombycidae.